AUUGAACGCUGGCGGCAGGCCUAAUACAUGCAAGUCGAGCGCAGGAAAUCAUCGGAACCCUUCGGGGGGACGUUGAUGGAAUGAGCGGCGGACGGGUGAGUAACACGUAAAGAACCUGCCCUCAGGUCUGGGAUAACCACGAGAAAUCGGGGCUAAUACCGGAUGGGUCAUCGGACCGCAUGGUCCGAGGAUGAAAGGCGCUUCGGCGUCGCCUGGGGAUGGCUUUGCGGUGCAUUAGCUAGUUGGUGGGGUAAUGGCCCACCAAGGCGACGAUGCAUAGCCGACCUGAGAGGGUGAUCGGCCACACUGGGACUGAGACACGGCCCAGACUCCUACGGGAGGCAGCAGUAGGGAAUCUUCCACAAUGGACGAAAGUCUGAUGGAGCAACGCCGCGUGAACGAUGAAGGCCUUCGGGUCGUAAAGUUCUGUUGUAAGGGAAGAACAAGUGCCGCAGGCAAUGGCGGCACCUUGACGGUACCUUGCGAGAAAGCCACGGCUAACUACGUGCCAGCCGCCGCAGUAA
RNAcentral lists this ribosomal RNA (524 nucleotides) under uncultured bacterium. RNAcentral describes it as "partial 16S ribosomal RNA". It matches the Rfam family "Bacterial small subunit ribosomal RNA", at positions 29 to 523 of the family's 1533-position model. The record is from RNAcentral.